This is an RNA transcript of Lycium ferocissimum, 3443 nucleotides long. RefSeq lists it as uncharacterized. Lineage: Eukaryota; Viridiplantae; Streptophyta; Magnoliopsida; Solanales; Solanaceae. The transcript has 2 exons. The record is from RefSeq and is a predicted model, not a curated record.
CUGUACACUUCGCCCCACUUAACGACCUAUUGAACACCUAAAGUUGGCCAAUGUGUACCUAUUAAACACGGACAUCUCUUUUUUGUUUUGAUAUGUUAUUUUCUCAUUGGCCUGAUUUGCGCAUUUUUUGAGCCCUUGACUAAUUGAGUGAGCAUUUUUGUGCUGGAAAACAAAAGGGGACAAAAUUUUCCUCUCUCAAUAGUUUAGAAAUAAAGUUUACUCUUACAACAAUUUCCUAUAUAUUCGAUUCCCUCUAUGAAAUUUAAUUUACUUAUAUUAUUUUAUCUUUCGCUUAAUAAUUGUCACACAUUAUAUAAAAGAACAUUAAUAUUUCGCAAGCUAAUAGUCAUCAUUAAAGUUCACAAAAUAAAAGAUCUCAAAAUUAAUAAAAAUCAAAUUGAAAUAGUAAUAUCAUAUUUUAUUUAUCAAAUAAACUUGUAGAAAAGUUUUUUAUUGACAUUUUUUUUCCCUAAGUUGUCAUUUCUAUGAAACGGAAACCUGUAGACCAUAAAUUGAUCUUAAAGAAAGGUGUAAGUUGCACUAUUAAUUAGAUUAUCAUUUCUAAUCUUGCAUAUCUAUAUAAAUAUAUAAAGCAGGGACUUAGAUUCGAUGAUGUGGCACGCUCUAGGAUAAGAAUGACUAUUAUCUUUUUUCUAAUUUUUUUGUCAUUUUAAAUUUAAAAAAUCAAUUAUUAACUCAACUAAAAGUGCUCCUUCGGCCUUCAGUUGAAAAACCCCAAAAGCCGUUUCCAGUUACACAAAACUCAACAACCGCUUCCUUUCUCCAUACACCUCCCUUUCUCCCAUUCUCCUCCCUUACAACAAGCUAAUCUUUAGGAUUUUUUCCCUCAGUUAGUUUUUUUCCCAGCAACAGCGGCAACUUCUCGUCGUUUUCAAACAAAACCUAGCGUCUUCUAUUUCAAUCAAUGUUAAGUGUUGUCUUAGAAAAUUCAUAGUGCCACAUCGCAUCAAAUCAAAAACAUAAAUCAAUCAAUAGAUGAGAAGAAUUCCGCACAUUUGCCGCCAUCAAUCAACAGAGGAGAAGAAUUCCACCCGUCUGUCAUUUCGAACAAAAAGUUUAAGAAUUUCAAUACCAAUAGCAGCAAAGACAAAGAAUAAAUCAAUAGUGGAGAAGAAGUUUAUCGUCUGCAUUUGUUGUGUCCUCUGCAUAUCCCCAAAUAUUUUUAGAUUGAGAAUCUUCCAAGAAAGUUGCAUAUAGGAUCAGCAAGCUACUUAUCAGUCAUGAUGAAAAGGUUUAUGUGUGUUCAAAAGAUUACUUUUUUGCAGGAUCGGCAAGCCACUGAUCAGUGAUGAUGGAAAUAUUUAUGUUUGUUCAAAAAUAACUUUUUUCCCUUUGAAAGCAAUGGUUCUGACGAUAGCUCCAGUCCCAGGGAAUCAACAACGGUUGAGUUUCCACAUUAUUCUCAUUUGUAAGAUAUGUCUUUUAUAUCCUCAUCCUCAAUCCUUCCUGGUUUUUUAGUUGUGUAUCUGCAUAUCCUUCAUUUGAAUGUUUUACUUAUUUCUCUCGAUCAUUUUUGCGUUCUAACUUUGGCUUUAAGCAUAUUUUUGGAAAUAAGUACAGAAUAAUAGGGAAACACAAUAUAAAUCUUUUUUCACAGCGAGAUUGCAGCUUACAUUACAAUUGUUGUUGUGGAAUUUUUUGUUCUUUUUUGUUAUACUAUUUGAUACUGAGAUUAUUCAUGAGAUACUGCAAUUUUUUUCCACUACGGUGAGUACUUAUCUCUUUUUCUCUUGCCGCUUCUAUUGGAAUUUGUUAAGAGAAAUUGCAUUAUCUGUUGUUAUUUUGCUUUUUUGUUCAAUGUUUUUUCAGGUUUUAUUGGUCCACCUUGCAUAAAAUUAUGUUCUGCUAUGUGAUGUGAUGAUUGCACAAUAGAUAUUAUGUGAUGAUUUCUUUUUCCUCGCUGUCUACAUUAAUCUCAUUCCUCUUAAGACGUACACUUCAGGAGAAGCAAGAACAACAAGCAAAGAAGAAUUAGACAAACCAAAGAGCUAAGUUCGCUUUCUUCUCAUCCUAUGCUUUGUUAAAAAAUUAACUACAUUCUUUGUUACCUCAACCUAUGUUAUGAAAGUUAUUUGUUCAGAGCAAUCUUCUGUCUUAGUUUAUUCUAAGUAAACUAUCUCCUUAUAUACUUCAAAGUUGUAAGAUUUGAACAUAGAUGCAGUAUGAAUCAAUGCUCUAAAUUCAAAAGUGAAAGGACCUCUUGGAUCCAUAAACUAUGCACACCAACUACUUUGUUAGGUUCCUACUUGCUACGAUGCUACUUCAUGCACACUGACGAUAGUAGGAGGCACUUCGCCAACCCUCUUAAUCUUUAAAAGUGGAAGUGAUUUAAAUUGGGAACUUCAUGGGUCUACCUGUGGUGUUAGCUAUUCUGCAACUUCCAGCAUAUAUACCUUCUGUUUAGCUUCGGGAAGAAGUCAUUGUCGCAAAGUAUGGAAAGGAGAAUCAGUGAACUGUCAAUCUAGUACUUAUGCCUAAUAAGACAACCUUAUGAAAGUAAAAUUACAAUCUUUGGGGGAAUUUCAGCAGCUUAUAAUUUUAAAAGUGGGGGAUAGGAAGCAUAUUGAAUUUUUGCUAGAUCAUUGGCUUGAAGUUUGGAGUAAUCAUCGACCAAUCUCCUGAAUUAUACAGUUUAGCGGUAAAUAAAGAUAUCAUGGUAGCUAAUUAUUUUUCUAAAUCGGGUUGGCAUCAUCAAUUUAAUGAACUUUAAUGUGGAAGCUUGGACAAUAUAACUCUUUUAAUGGAAACUCUACAAUAUGUGGUGCUGGAUGAACGCAAGAUAGAUUUCAAGAUUUGGUUAGCAAGUAAACCUUGAUUUUUUUCCCUGUUAGUAGCUGAUUUAAAGUAUUUUUUAAGCACAUUGGGGAUUAGGAAGAUCAAUUUCCAUGGAAAUUGAAUUGGAAGUCAAAUGUUCCACCUAAUGUUUCAUGUUUCACUGUGUAACAGAUGUCUCUUUUGAGGUAAAUGUAGAGGACCACAACCAUAUAGUUUAUGCCUUUGUGGGUUCACUCGACUGUUGGUCUCUCUUCUUCAAUAUGUUUGGUGUAAGCUAUCAAAUGCCACAAGAUACCAAGAAGCUUUAGUUAUGUUGGGUGAAACAGAAGGUGAACUGCAGAGGCAAACUGAUACACGACUAGAAAGAAACAUGAGGUACUUUUGAAGAGAAAGUUGAGCACAUUUUUUUUUUGUUAAGUUUACAUGCUUACAAAUGAUUUACUUCUUGCGCAAGGGAAACACAUUAGAUAGUAUGAUGUAGUUUUUGGACUCUUUGAGUCAACAGCUAUAAAUUCCGCUACUUUUGUACUGUAUUGUGUACGUCUCUUGGUACUGACAAUAAUAGUUUACUUCAUUAAAAAAAUUAUAGUAUAGCCUUUCAAUUCCUAAUGUUGGACUAUAUCUACGCAAAAAUGUUUGAAUCUCUU